UACGGAGGGUGCGAGCGUUGUCCGGAAUCACUGGGCGUAAAGGGCGCGUAGGCGGCCUGGCAAGUCGAUGGUGAAAGCCCGAGGCUCAACUUCGGGUCGGCCACUGAUACUGCUGGGCUUGAGUCGACUAGAGGCAGAUGGAAUUCCGGGUGUAGCGGUGGAAUGCGUAGAGAUCCGGAAGAACACCGGUGGCGAAGGCGGUCUGCUGGUGUCGAACUGACGCUGAGGCGCGACAGCGUGGGGAGCAAACAGG
Molecule: ribosomal RNA, 253 nt
Filed under: uncultured bacterium
Lineage: Bacteria
Description: partial 16S ribosomal RNA
Rfam family: Bacterial small subunit ribosomal RNA
Source: RNAcentral